AUGCCGCCUCCUUUGCUUCGAGCUGCCUCCUGCGCCUCGAUCUCCUUCAAGACUGGUCGGGUCCAUCUUCCUGCACCCCUUCCCCGUCUCCGGCGCCGCGCUAGACCUCCCUCACGCCUCGCUAGCUACUGCUAUGCCGCCGUGUUCCUGCUUCAAGCAGGCAGAGGGUCGAUCCACCACCAGCACUCGCCUCUGCCAUGGACCUCCCCAGCGAGGCCCAUCUGCGUCAUCCGCCCCGGCCUCCUGCACUCGUGUCGGACCACGACGCACCGCUGUCAUCAUGCACCUCCAAUUGUCGUUUCUUUUGAUGCCAAGUCCAACGACCACUGA
Molecule: ribosomal RNA, 330 nt
Filed under: Triticum aestivum (bread wheat)
Lineage: Eukaryota; Viridiplantae; Streptophyta; Magnoliopsida; Poales; Poaceae
Description: partial small subunit ribosomal RNA
Source: RNAcentral